CACAGGACAGGAACAAUUAUUGUGUGGAAAGCUUGAGGGGUUUUGAUUUCUGGUUUGUAGCCCCUGUCUCAGCUGGCAGAGGGCUCAGUACAGGACUGCAGCUACCCUGCAGCAUCAGCUUUGCAGCCCCAGACUGGGAGGGCCAGGGGGAGCCCAGGGUGGGGACCAGGCUGUGUGAGGGCCUGCAGGAGUGGCCCUGGCUCUGCUCCACCCCUCCUGUCCCCAGGCCCCUCCAGGCAUGAGCAGCAGGUGAUGGAGGGGACCUGACAGUCCCAGGAGCCACAAACCUCCUCAGGUUGCAGCUAUUAGGCCUUAAAGCACCAGCAUGUCACAGCAGUGGGAUGAGGAACUGCCUCCCUCUGCUUUGCUCCCAGUAAACUGCUGGGGUGGAGCUUUGAACUGUCCCUCUGGUUCCCUCCCUUGUCAAUAAUAAAAAGGUAAUGAAGAAAAAUCCUGUACUUUUAGAGACCUAAAAC
Prinia subflava (tawny-flanked prinia) is the source of this 476-nucleotide long non-coding RNA. RefSeq lists it as uncharacterized. The transcript is spliced from 3 exons. The record is from RefSeq and is a predicted model, not a curated record. NCBI's taxonomy places the organism in Eukaryota, Metazoa, Chordata, Aves, Passeriformes, Cisticolidae.